This 71-nucleotide transfer RNA is filed under the name Acinetobacter baumannii BJAB07104. RNAcentral's name for it is "tRNA-Trp". Lineage: Bacteria; Pseudomonadati; Pseudomonadota; Gammaproteobacteria; Moraxellales; Moraxellaceae. The record is from RNAcentral.
UGAUAUUGCUCCGGGUGAAGCAAUUUUCAUUAAUGCUGACGGUGAGUUAUUUACAAAGCAAUGUGCGGCAG